GACGAACGCUAGCGGCGUGCCUAAGGUAUGCAAGUCGAACGGGGAGCUUGCUCCCAGUGGCGAACGGUCGAGUAACACGUAGACAACCUGCCCGAGAGUGGGGGAUAACAGUGGGAAACUGCUGCUAAUACCGCAUGUGGCCGCCCGCAGCAUUGGGGGCUGGCUAAAGGCGCAAGCCGCUCUGGGAUGGGUCUGCGUCCUAUCAGCUAGUUGGUGAGGUAACGGCCCACCAAGGCGACGACGGGUAGCGGGUCUGAGAGGAUGAUCCGCCGGACGGGGACUGAGACACGGCCCCGACUCCUUCGGGAGGCAGCAAUGAGGAAUAUUGCGCAAUGGGGGAAACCCUGACGCAGCGACGCCGCGUGGGUGAGGAAGUCCUUCGGGAUGUAAAGCCCUUUUCUCGGGGACGAUCACAGACGGUACCCGAGGAAUAAGCCCCGGCUAACUACGUGC
This 453-nucleotide ribosomal RNA is filed under the name uncultured bacterium. RNAcentral's name for it is "bacterial SSU rRNA". It matches the Rfam family "Bacterial small subunit ribosomal RNA", at positions 28 to 508 of the family's 1533-position model. The record is from RNAcentral.